AAAAUACCAUUAAUUUUUAUGAACCCCUAAUUUAUAAUGAAUGACUCCAUAUUUAUAUGGAAGACACCAUGCUAGGAUUAGUAACAAGAAUUUAUAAUUCUCCAAAAUGCAAAUAUAAACCAACAUGGAUAGACCAUUGGUAGUUACCGAACCUAAAUUUAAUGCAAUAACAUCCACAAGAAAACUCUGCAGCACUCACUCGUUAACCUAACACCAGCGCAUUACAGGAAAGAUUCAAAAAAAGAGAAGGAAUUCGGCAAAUGACGACCCCGCCUGUUUACCAAAAACAUCGCCUCUUGACUUAUAAUAAGAGGUCUAGCCUGCCCAGUGAAUUUUAAACGGCCGCGGUAUCCUAACCGCGCGAAGGUAGCAUAAUCACUUGUUCUUUAAAUGGGGACUCGUAUCAACGGCAUCACGAGGGUCUUACUGUCUCCUCUUUUUGAUCAGUGAAAUUGAUCUUCCCGUGAAGAAGCGGGAAUAUUUUUAUAAGACGAGAAGACCCCAUGGAGCUUUAAACCAAAUAACAACUUAACCACUUAUCCCAUAAUAAAUUUAACCCCUGUUAUAAGGUUUUUGGUUGGGGUGACCGCGGAGUAAAGCACAUCCUCCACGACGGAAAGAAUAAAAUCUUUAUUUAAGAACCACACUUCUAGAAAUUAGUAUACUAACGUUUACUGACCCGACAAUCGAUCAACGGACCAAGUUACCCUGGGGAUAACAGCGCAAUCUACUUCGAGAGCUCAUAUCGACAAGUAGGCUUACGACCUCGAUGUUGGAUCAGGGUAUCCCGGUGGUGCAGCCGCUACCGAAGGUUCGUUUGUUCAACGAUUAA
RNAcentral lists this ribosomal RNA (832 nucleotides) under Polypedates leucomystax (Java whipping frog). RNAcentral describes it as "partial 16S ribosomal RNA". It matches the Rfam family "Bacterial large subunit ribosomal RNA", at positions 1530 to 2591 of the family's 2925-position model. Lineage: Eukaryota; Metazoa; Chordata; Amphibia; Anura; Rhacophoridae. The record is from RNAcentral.